Oryctolagus cuniculus (rabbit) is the source of this 1370-nucleotide non-coding RNA. The record is from RefSeq and is a predicted model, not a curated record. NCBI's taxonomy places the organism in Eukaryota, Metazoa, Chordata, Mammalia, Lagomorpha, Leporidae.
AUCAUCAUGAGACCAGUAAACUUAGCACCACAGGCUACGUGUCAAAUUUUAACAGGAAAUGACUCAGAUCUAGAGCAAAGUUAGUCCCAUGCACAACGAAAUGUUAUGCAAGACAAAAACGACCCGUGUUAAAUAUCACACACAAUGAGGUGAUGUAUUGCUCAAGAAGCUAGCAGAGGAUCAAUCUCUGUAAGAGGCAGAUCAUUGUCUCACUUGGGAAAAGGCUUUCCAUUGCUACACAUAGACAUGGUCACCUUCUGAGUUACUACCCGAAAUGCAUUUACCUUACACCUGCAAACCAGAAAAACCUUUCUCAGGUGCUUGUAGUUCAUUAUUCCUUUUUUUCAACUCUAUCUUCCAGGUCAUGAUGUUCCUAGAGAGGAUCACCUGAGGAGACUGAAUGUUGAUGAACUUCCCAAGUAUUCAGGAGGGGGCUGCACUUGGGUCCAGGAGCUGAGACACACAAAAGGCUACAGCCUAGCUCUGUGCAAAUGCACCUGGGGAAGCAGCAGAAGAUGGCUCAAGUGUGUGGACCCCUGCACCCGUGUGGGAGAUCCUGAUGGAGUUCUAGGCUCCUGGCUUAAGUUUGACCUAUCCCCAGUUAUUGUAUGACCAUUUGAGGAGUGAAACAGCAGAUGGAAGAUCUCUCUCUUUCUCUAGCUGCUUUCAAAUAAAUAAAUAAAUAAAUCUUAAAAAAUAAACAAAAUGAUUCUCAGUUAUAAUACCAGCUUUCAUCUUUGCAAAAUGGCAUACAUGCAAAGUGACUCAUGGUUUUACUGCAGUACUGUUUAGAGUAACAAAUGACUAGGAAUGUAUGAAGUAUUCAUUAAUAGGGGAUUAAUUAAAUAAGUAAUGUUAAAACCACAUGAACAGGUACCCAAGCGGAAAAGCAAGAUACAGGGCAGGGUAUAAAGGAUGUUACCCCUUGUGAAAACAAAAAGUAUGUAUAUGUUUGUGUCGGGGAGAGAUAUGUUUAUUUCAUAUUUGCUUGCUUAGGAAGCAAGAAUACCUAGGGAAGAAUACUCAAGAAACUAAUUAGGAGGCUGGCACUGUGGAGUAGUAGGCUAAGCCUCCACCUGUGCUGCUGGCAUUCCAAAUGGGUGCUGGUUUGUGUCCUCACUGCUCCUCUUUGGAUCCAGCGCUUUGCUUGUGGCCUGGGAAAACACUGGAAGAUGGCUCAAGUGCUUGGGAGACCUGGAAGAAGCUCCUGCUUCUGGCUUCAGGGCCAGCGCUGUGGUGCAGCAGAUUAAAGCCCUGGCCUGAAGUGCUGACAUCCCAAAUGAGUGCCAGUUCUAGUCCCAGCUGUUCCACUUCCAAUCCAGCUCUCUACUAUGGCCUGGGAAAGCAAUAGAAGAUGGCCCAAGUCCUUG